RNAcentral lists this ribosomal RNA (450 nucleotides) under uncultured bacterium. RNAcentral's name for it is "partial 16S ribosomal RNA". It matches the Rfam family "Bacterial small subunit ribosomal RNA", at positions 354 to 796 of the family's 1533-position model. The record is from RNAcentral.
GUGGGGAAUUUUGGACAAUGGGCGCAAGCCUGAUCCAGCAAUGCCGCGUGCAGGAAGAAGGCCUUCGGGUUGUAAACUGCUUUUGUACGGAACGAAACGGUCCUGGCUAAUAUCCGGGGCUAAUGACGGUACCGUAAGAAUAAGCACCGGCUAACUACGUGCCAGCAGCCGCGGUAAUACGUAGGGUGCGAGCGUUAAUCGGAAUUACUGGUCGUAAAGCGUGCGCAGGCGGUGCUGUAAGACAGGCGUGAAAUCCCCGGGCUCAACCUGGGAAUUGCGCUUGUGACUGCAGUGCCGGAGUGCGGCAGAGGGGGAUGGAAUUCCGCGUGUAGCAGUGAAAUGCGUAGAUAUGCGGAGGAACACCGAUGGCGAAGGCAAUCCCCUGGGCCUGCACUGACGCUCAUGCACGAAAGCGUGGGGAGCAAACAGGAUUAGAUACCCUUGUAGUCC